GAUGAACGCUGGCGGCGUGCCUAAUACAUGCAAGUCGAGCGAACGGACGAGAAGCUUGCUUCUCUGAUGUUAGCGGCGGACGGGUGAGUAACACGUGGAUAACCUACCUAUAAGACUGGGAUAACUUCGGGAAACCGGAGCUAAUACCGGAUGAUAUUUUGAACCGCAUGGUUCAAAAGUGAAAGACGGUCUUGCUGUCACUUAUAGAUGGAUCCGCGCUGCAUUAGCUAGUUGGUAAGGUAACGGCUUACCAAGGCAACGAUGCAUAGCCGACCUGAGAGGGUGAUCGGCCACACUGGAACUGAGACACGGUCCAGACUCCUACGGGAGGCAGCAGUAGGGAAUCUUCCGCAAUGGGCGAAAGCCUGACGGAGCAACGCCGCGUGAGUGAUGAAGGUCUUCGGAUCGUAAAGCUCUGUUAUUAGGGAAGAACAUAUGUGUAAGUAACUGUGCACAUCUUGACGGUACCUAAUCAGAAAGCCACGGCUAACUACGU
Molecule: ribosomal RNA, 496 nt
Filed under: uncultured bacterium
Lineage: Bacteria
Description: partial 16S ribosomal RNA
Rfam family: Bacterial small subunit ribosomal RNA
Source: RNAcentral